This 253-nucleotide ribosomal RNA is filed under the name uncultured bacterium. Its description in RNAcentral is "partial 16S ribosomal RNA". It matches the Rfam family "Bacterial small subunit ribosomal RNA", at positions 524 to 776 of the family's 1533-position model. The record is from RNAcentral.
UACGGGGGGGGCAAGCGUUGUUCGGAAUUACUGGGCGUAAAGGGCGCGUAGGCGGUUCGCUAAGUUGAAUGUGAAAACUCUGGGCCUAACCCAGAGCCUGCAUUCAAUACUGGCGGGCUAGAGUUCUGGAGGGGAUAGCGGAAUUCCUGGUGUAGCGGUGAAAUGCGCAGAUAUCAGGAGGAACACCAGCGGCGAAGGCGGCGCUCUGGGCUGGAACUGACGCUGAGGAGCGAAAGCGUGGGGAGCGAACAGG